This 492-nucleotide ribosomal RNA is filed under the name uncultured bacterium. RNAcentral describes it as "partial 16S ribosomal RNA". It matches the Rfam family "Bacterial small subunit ribosomal RNA", at positions 29 to 507 of the family's 1533-position model. The record is from RNAcentral.
AGUGAACGCUGGCGGUAGGCCUAACACAUGCAAGUCGAACGGCAGCACAGUAAGAGCUUGCUCUUACGGGUGGCGAGUGGCGGACGGGUGAGGAAUACAUCGGAAUCUACUUUUUCGUGGGGGAUAACGUAGGGAAACUUACGCUAAUACCGCAUACGACCUACGGGUGAAAGCAGGGGAUCUUCGGACCUUGCGCGAUUGAAUGAGCCGAUGUCGGAUUAGCUAGUUGGCGGGGUAAAGGCCCACCAAGGCGACGAUCCGUAGCUGGUCUGAGAGGAUGAUCAGCCACACUGGAACUGAGACACGGUCCAGACUCCUACGGGAGGCAGCAGUGGGGAAUAUUGGACAAUAGGCGCAAGCCUGAUCCAGCCAUACCGCGUGGGUGAAGAAGGCCUUCGGGUUGUAAAGCCCUUUUGUUGGGAAAGAAGAGCAGCAGGUUAAUACCCCGCUGUUCUGACGGUACCCAAAGAAUAAGCACCGGCUAACUUCGUG